This 93-nucleotide transfer RNA is filed under the name Actinocatenispora comari. RNAcentral describes it as "tRNA-Pro". Lineage: Bacteria; Bacillati; Actinomycetota; Actinomycetes; Micromonosporales; Micromonosporaceae. The record is from RNAcentral.
GGUCGGCGUCGUCCGGCGGGACGGGCGGCAGCCCGGUCGGCGCGGGCUGCCGCAGCGCGUCCACCUCGGCCGGUUCGAGCCCGUCGCCGAGCC